GUUGAUCCUGCCGGACCUGACUGCUAUCGGAUUGAUACUAAGCCAUGCGAGUCAUUGUAGUAAUACAAGGCAGACGGCUCAGUAACGCGUAGUCAACCUAACCUAUGGACGGGAAUAACCUCGGGAAACUGAGUAUAAUGCCCGAUAGAACAUUAUGCCUGGAAUGGUUUAUGUUCCAAAUGAUUUAUCGCCGUAGGAUGGGACUGCGGCCUAUCAGUUUGUUGGUGAGGUAAUGGCCCACCAAGACUAUUACAGGUACGGGCUCUGAGAGGAGUAGCCCGGAGAUGGGUACUGAGACACGGACCCAGGCCCUAUGGGGCGCAGCAGGCGAGAAAACUUUGCAAUGUGCGAAAGCACGACAAGGUUAAUCCGAGUGGUUUCUGCUAAAGGAACCUUUUGUUAGUCCUAGAAACACUAACGAAUAAGGGGUGGGCAAGUUCUGGUGUCAGCCGCCGCGGUAAAACCAGCACCUCAAGUGGUCAGGAUGAUUAUUGGGCCUAAAGCAUCCGUAGCCGGCUCUGUAAGUUUUCGGUUAAAUCUGUACGCUCAACGUACAGGCUGCCGGGAAUACUGCAGAGCUAGGGAGUGGGAGAGGUAGACGGUACUCGGUAGGAAGGGGUAAAAUCCUUUGAUCUAUUGAUGACCACCUGUGGCGAAGGCGGUCUACCAGAACACGUCCGACGGUGAGGGAUGAAAGCUGGGGGAGCAAACCGGAUUAGAUACCCGGGUAGUCCCAGCUGUAAACUAUGCAAACUCAGUGAUGCAUUGACUUGUGGUCAAUGCAGUGCUGCAGGGAAGCCGUUAAGUUUGCCGCCUGGGAAGUACGUACGCAAGUAUGAAACUUAAAGGAAUUGGCGGGGGAGCACCGCAACCUGAGGAUUGUGCGGUUUAAUUGGAUUCAACGCCGGAAAACUCACCAGUGCCGACGGACAAAUGAAAGCCAGUGUAAUGAGCUUGCUGGAUUGUUCGAGAGGUAGUGCAUGGCCGUCGUCAGUUCGUACCGUAAGGCGUUCUGUUAAGUCAGAUAACGAACGAGACCCUCAUCCCUAUUUGCUAAGGUCAGUCCGCUGAUCACAGGACUAUAGGGAGACCGCUGGCGCGAAGUCAGAGGAAGGCGAGGGCAACGGUAGGUCAGUAUGCUCCGAAUGCACUGGGCUACACGCGCAAUACAAAGGACGGGACAAUGGGCCGCUGCGCCGAGAGGCAUGUGGCUAUCCCGAAACCCGUUCGUAGUUCGGAUUGAGGGCUGUAACUCGCCCUCAUGAAGCUGGAUUAGGUAGUAAUCGCGUCUCAAAAAGGCGCGGUGAAUAUGCCCCUGCUCCUUGCACUCACCGCCC
This 1337-nucleotide ribosomal RNA is filed under the name uncultured prokaryote. RNAcentral's name for it is "partial 16S ribosomal RNA". It matches the Rfam family "Archaeal small subunit ribosomal RNA". The record is from RNAcentral.